AGGGAAUUGUUCGCAAUGGGCGCAAGCCUGACGACGCAACGCCGCGUGGAGGAUGAAGGUCUUCGGAUUGUAAACUCCUGUCGUGUGGGACGAACACUUGUCGGACGAAUAGGCCGGCGAGCUGACGGUACCACGAAAGGAAGCCCCGGCUAACUCUGUGCCAGCAGCCGCGGUAAUACGUAGGGUGCGAGCGUUGUCCGGAAUUAUUGGGCGUAAAGAGCUCGUAGGCGGUGUGUCACGUCGGAUGUGAAAACCCGGGGCUUAACCCCGGGCCUGCAUUCGAUACGGGCUGACUAGAGUUCGGCAGGGGAGACUGGAAUUCCUGGUGUAGCGGUGAAAUGCGCAGAUAUCAGGAGGAACACCGGUGGCGAAGGCGGGUCUCUGGGCCGAUACUGACGCUGAGGAGCGAAAGCGUGGGGAGCGAAC
This 426-nucleotide ribosomal RNA is filed under the name uncultured bacterium. Its description in RNAcentral is "bacterial SSU rRNA". It matches the Rfam family "Bacterial small subunit ribosomal RNA", at positions 356 to 773 of the family's 1533-position model. The record is from RNAcentral.